This 200-nucleotide unclassified non-coding RNA is filed under the name soil metagenome. Its description in RNAcentral is "partial contains internal transcribed spacer 2 and large subunit ribosomal RNA". The record is from RNAcentral.
GUCAUCUCACCCCUCAGGCCCAGGCCUGGUGUUGGGCCUCGUCCCUGGCGGGACGGGCCCGGAAGUCAGCGGCGGUGCCGACCGACCCCCAGCGUUGCAAAUAUCUCACGCUGCGGAGCGGAGCGGUGUCUGUCACCCGCGCAAGAGCGCACCUCUCAAAGGUUGACCUCGGAUCAGGUAGGGAUACCCGCUGAACUUAA